Molecule: ribosomal RNA, 253 nt
Filed under: uncultured bacterium
Lineage: Bacteria
Description: partial 16S ribosomal RNA
Rfam family: Bacterial small subunit ribosomal RNA
Source: RNAcentral
UACGGAGGUCUCAAGCGUUGUUCGGAUUCAUUGGGCGUAAAGGGUGCGUAGGCGGCGCGGUAAGUCGGGUGUGAAAUCUCGGAGCUUAACUCCGAAACUGCAUUCGAUACUGCCGUGCUUGAGGACUGGAGAGGAGACUGGAAUUUACGGUGUAGCGGUGAAAUGCGUAGAUAUCGGGAGGAACACCAGUGGCGAAGGCGGAACUCUGGGCCGGAACUGACGCUGAGGAGCGAAAGCGUGGGGAGCGAACAGG